RNAcentral lists this long non-coding RNA (408 nucleotides) under Amborella trichopoda. RNAcentral describes it as "long non-coding RNA (ATRI_LNC004053)". Lineage: Eukaryota; Viridiplantae; Streptophyta; Magnoliopsida; Amborellales; Amborellaceae. The record is from RNAcentral.
GUUUUUGUAGUAUAACUCCUAUUUCUAUUUUUUUUAUUUAUUUUCAAGUUAGAGAUGGGCCCAAUGCAUUUAUUUGUGAGUAUAAGAAAAAGGAUACCAUAAAAAAAGGGAUUUUUUUAUUUGGUAAUGUUCAAGAAAAGAAAAAAGGAUUUUCAGUAAAGAAAUCAUUUAUCUGUCGUACAUAGAGGUCACAAUCAUUUCCACUCAUUCCAUGUCAAAUUGGUAUUAUUAUUGGUGGAUGAUAACCAUGUGCAAGAAGUCAUCAUACAUGGUAGAUAGGCCUUUUUUUGGGUGAAUUACAAUUAGGUUUUUAAAGGCUGCUUAUGUGAUCUCACUAUUUGGCUGCUUAUGUGAUCUCACCAUUCUGUUUCUUCAGUGUUCUUGUAAAAGGAUGAUACUAUGUUUUCC